GAUGAAGAACGUAGCGAAAUGCGAUAAGUAGUGUGAAUUGCAGAAUUUAGUGAAUCAUCGAAUCUUUGAACGCACAUUGCGCCCUUUGGUAUUCCUUAGGGCAUGCCUGUUCGAGCAUCAUCUACACCCUCAAGCACAGCUUGGUGAUGGGCGCCUGUCCCGCCCCCCACGGGGGCGCGGACUCGCCUCAAAUGCAUUGGCGGCCGGCGACCUGGCUUCGAGCGCAGCAGAAACGCGUACUCGGGGACCGGGCGCCCGCUCCCAGAAGCCAACCCACCCAGUUUGACCUCGGAUCAGGUAGGGAUACCCGCUGAACUUAAGCAUAUCAAUAAGCGGAGGA
This 340-nucleotide unclassified non-coding RNA is filed under the name soil metagenome. Its description in RNAcentral is "partial contains 5.8S ribosomal RNA, internal transcribed spacer 2, and large subunit ribosomal RNA". The stretch from base 1 to 120 matches the Rfam family "5.8S ribosomal RNA", at positions 35 to 154 of the family's 154-position model. The record is from RNAcentral.